This 346-nucleotide ribosomal RNA is filed under the name uncultured Metarhizium. RNAcentral describes it as "SSU rRNA". It matches the Rfam family "Eukaryotic small subunit ribosomal RNA", at positions 20 to 370 of the family's 1831-position model. Lineage: Eukaryota; Fungi; Ascomycota; Sordariomycetes; Hypocreales; Clavicipitaceae. The record is from RNAcentral.
GUAGUCAUAUGCUUGUCUCAAAGAUUAAGCCAUGCAUGUCUAAGUAUAAGCAAUUAUACAGCGAAACUGCGAAUGGCUCAUUAUAUAAGUUAUCGUUUAUUUGAUAGUACCUUACUACUUGGAUAACCGGGGUAAUUCUAGAGCUAAUACAUGCUAAAAAUCCCGACUUCGGAAGGGAUGUAUUUAUUAGAUACAAAACCAAUGCCCUUCGGGGCUCUCUGGUGAUUCAUGAUAACUCCUCGAAUCGCAUGGCCUUGCGCCGGCGAUGGUUCAUUCAAAUUUCUUCCCUAUCAACUUUCGAUGUUAGGGUAGUGUCCAAGCAUGGUGCCAACGGGUAACGGGGAAU